GACGAACGCUGGCGGCGUGCUUAACACAUGCAAGUCGAACGGAAAGGCCCUGCUUUUGUGGGGUGCUCGAGUGGCGAACGGGUGAGUAACACGUGAGUAACCUGCCCUAGACCUUGGGAUAACUUCAGGAAACUGGGGCUAAUACCGGAUAGGAGCUCCUGCUGCAUGGUGGGGGUUGGAAAGUUUCGGCGGUUGGGGAUGGACUCGCGGCUUAUCAGCUUGUUGGUGGGGUAGUGGCUUACCAAGGCUUUGACGGGUAGCCGGCCUGAGAGGGUGACCGGCCACAUUGGGACUGAGAUACGGCCCAGACUCCUACGGGAGGCAGCAGUGGGGAAUAUUGCACAAUGGGCGGAAGCCUGAUGCAGCAACGCCGCGUGCGGGAUGACGGCCUUCGGGUUGUAAACCGCUUUCGCCUGUGACGAAGCGUGAGUGACGGUAAUGGGUAAAGAAGCACCGGCUAACUACGUG
RNAcentral lists this ribosomal RNA (468 nucleotides) under uncultured bacterium. RNAcentral describes it as "partial 16S ribosomal RNA". It matches the Rfam family "Bacterial small subunit ribosomal RNA", at positions 28 to 507 of the family's 1533-position model. The record is from RNAcentral.